CCUUCUUGUUUCACUAAAUUGCACAAAUUGAGGCCCUAAUCAAGACAAUUACUCUUGCAUGUUGGUAGAUUCUUGAUCUUCUAGGUCCAUUCAAGCAUAAGGAAUUAAGGAGGAAAGCACAAGCCGUUCCGAGUCUCAAACGAAGAACGAUAAAGGUAAAGCGACUUGCUAAAUGACGCUACUUGGAUCGAACACGCCCAUGAUGCACGCUUCCGCAAAGAUAUUAGUUUGGGUCAAAACUUUUGUUAAAUAUACUUUUGGUAAAUGGGUCUUUUUGUAAGUAACAAACUUGUUCGUUGUUAGA
Long non-coding RNA from Helianthus annuus (common sunflower), 304 nucleotides. RefSeq lists it as uncharacterized. The transcript has 3 exons. NCBI's taxonomy places the organism in Eukaryota, Viridiplantae, Streptophyta, Magnoliopsida, Asterales, Asteraceae. The record is from RefSeq and is a predicted model, not a curated record.